GUUGAUCCUGCCAGUAGUCAUAUGCUUGUCUCAAAGAUUAAGCCAUGCAUGUCUCAGUACAAGCCUAAUUAAGGUGAAACCGCGAAAGGCUCAUUAAAUCAGUUAUGGUUCCUUAGAUCGUACCCACAUUUACUUGGAUAACUGUGGUAAUUCUAGAGCUAAUACAUGCAAACAGAGCUCCGACCGGAGACGGAAGGAGCGCUUUUAUUAGAUCAAAACCAAUCGGCGGCGGGUUCGCGCCCGUCGUCGUACAACUUGGUGAAUCUGAAUAACUUUCUGCUGAUCGCAUGGUCUCGCACCGGCGACGCAUCUUUCAAAUGUCUGCCUUAUCAACUGUCGAUGGUAGGUUCUGCGCCUACCAUGGUUGUAACGGGUAACGGGGAAUCAGGGUUCGAUUCCGGAGAGGGAGCCUGAGAAACGGCUACCACAUCCAAGGAAGGCAGCAGGCGCGCAAAUUACCCACUCCCGGCACGGGGAGGUAGUGACGAAAAAUAACGAUACGGGACUCAUCCGAGGCCCCGUAAUCGGAAUGAGUACACUCUAAACCCUUUAACGAGGAUCAAUUGGAGGGCAAGUCUGGUGCCAGCAGCCGCGGUAAUUCCAGCUCCAAUAGCGUAUAUUAAAGUUG
RNAcentral lists this ribosomal RNA (628 nucleotides) under Potamophilinus sp. MNCN-FC-A16. Its description in RNAcentral is "SSU rRNA". It matches the Rfam family "Eukaryotic small subunit ribosomal RNA", at positions 7 to 612 of the family's 1831-position model. Lineage: Eukaryota; Metazoa; Arthropoda; Insecta; Coleoptera; Elmidae. The record is from RNAcentral.